UCAAAGCAUUAUUGCCUUUCGAAAUUCACCAGUCUUCUUCUCUUCAACAACAAUAUUACCUGCCUCUAUGUCUCUGCGUUACCUCUUCGGCGGAGUAACCCACACCGCUGUCAACCAUACUCACCUCAUGCUCAAGCCCUAUAUUGGCUUCUGUGCACUAUUAAAUCACAAUGCUUUGAUCCCCAUUUCUUCUUCUUCUUCUUCUUCAGCGUUUGUAUUUCUCCAUGGCUCUCCUUCUUUUUCUUCUGCAAACCCAAUUUCAGGUUCACAAAGUUGUACAACAUCACCCCCAUGUGGUGGCACUUGCAUUUACAUGGGUGCCCACGAGGAUGAUUGGAUCAUCAGACUCGCCAAGUUUGCAGUAGAGCAGCACAAUUUCAAAGAGGGUGUGUACCUUUUGUGGAGAAGAUUGUAUCCAAUGCAUCUUUAUGGGAUGUUGGAAACGUUUCAGUGAAAAGUUACUCUUUGAGUAAGAAUCUUCAAUAUGUGAGGGUGUUGGGGGCAAGCCACACUAUGGUUUCUAGCAUAUUGUACCAUAUUACACUGGAGACAGUUGAUGCUACUAAGCCUAAGAUUUACCAUGCAGUUGUUUGGUUACAAAUAUUAAAGAACUUCAUGGAGUUGCUUGCAUGGAAGCCCGUUAAUGACCGCUUGUCGGUUCUUGGUGUUAAGUCCGGGAUCCAUGGAACAACCAACAACCAUGACCCUCUUCUCGUGUCUUCAUAUAGGUAAACUUGUUUAAAAGUCGUCACUUGCAAGCCAAUUUGUUUUCCUUUAUUAAAACUAUCCAGUCAGUUUAUCAAUCAUACUACCUGCACAAUCACUUUAGCCACUCAAACCAUAUAAUACAUAGGACUACAACAACCUUAAAGUAAAUCCCUGAGUCAUGCCAGGUUCUAUUUGGAAACUUGAUAUUCUAAAACAGCUUAAUAGUGGUUGAUGUUGCCUCUAGUCUAGAAAAUCCUAUCCAUUGUUUGUUAAGUUUUAAAUCGACGUUUAUGCUUUUGUCAUUCUUGAGCUGUACUUUUCUCUGGCUUUUGUAGUUCUCAGUGUAGAUAGCUUUAGUAGUGUCUUCGUAAAGGAAUAGUGUUAUUUAUCCCGCUUGUAUGUAUUUUCACAGCAUUUCUGUGGAUGUGAAACAUAGAACAGUUAUUAUAGUGGCAGCAAUGAAUAUUUGAAUAAUUAUUCUGUAGGUUAUUUUAGUGGCAGCAUUAAAUGUUACUAGUAUCACCCUUGAGGUAUAAACGUAUUACAUGCAUCCAUUUGUAAAUACUUGUAUAAAGGAUUUUAUAGAUGACAUGUCUAUGAGUAAUGCUAGAGGGGUCAGAAUUUUUAUCCACAUCAAUUGAUCAAAUGCUCGGGCAGUUGAUGUGUUAAUUAACAAUUGGACUUAGUAGCGACGUACUAAGUACAUAUGAACUGCCACAUCACGUGGUUAGAUAAUUGGGUCUCUGUAGUAUUUUUCUUUGUUUAUUGUCUAAUUACUUGUUUGAGCCAGUCAUUGGAAGUGGCGAACUUCAUACUUGAAAGUAUCAACACAUCUGUUAAUGGAUAUUGGCUGUUCGCGGAUGCCUUCUCUGACAGAUGUGUGACUGAAUAAGAAAAAUGGAACAGCUGAAAUUUUUUUACAUUGUUGUAUAGUUUGUAGUUAAUUACGGUAGUGAAAGAGUUUCAUUCUCUGAAUGCCUCAAAAGUACAUUUGAUGAGUAGCAUUGUCUAUGUACCUCCAGAGGACAGAUUUUCGUGCAUACCCUGAGAAGCAAAGAGACAUUAACCUGACAGUACAAGUUGAAAAGCUUAGUGAUGCAGAGUAAUUGCCGUCUUUGACUUAUAAUCUGUAUUACAAGUUGAGAGUGUUGGUCAUGCAAUAGGCAAUUGAAUUCUUUGGUAUUUAUGCCCCAAUUUCGAAGUUUUUCACUUGCUGGCUUAUAUAUGUUUUUCUUUAUGUAAUUUGGUUUCGGUUUCACAGGGACUGUUUUGGAUGUCUUAUUUGUUUUACACAGGUGAUUUGAAAUUGCAUGAAGCUGUUAUGUUUUAUAUGAAUAAUGUACAGCGAGAUCGUUCCCUAAACUGAAUGUACAAAGCCUACCUAUCUAACUUCCAAAUUUGGAUACGCCCGGCACAUUGCAUCAGUCAUUCACUUACAGUUAUGUGAGGCCUACUACUUUGUACGGUGAGCCGCACAUGCUUGGAUAAGUGUCCAAUGCCACAAAUAGUACUUGUUUUUGGUCGGAACAAAUAUUCCCCCUAACCUUCGACGAAAAAAAAUAUUCCUUCAAACCUUUGAAAUUCACCUUUUCAACCUUGAACAAUGUAUAGUGAAUAGUGAAUUUUGGAUCUGUUAAUGAUAUAAUCUCCAGUAAUGUUUAUUUUCCCUUUUCUA
Prunus persica (peach) is the source of this 2383-nucleotide RNA transcript. It is a transcript of the gene named cysteine proteinase inhibitor, with no coding region annotated. The record is from RefSeq and is a predicted model, not a curated record. The transcript is spliced from 4 exons. NCBI's taxonomy places the organism in Eukaryota, Viridiplantae, Streptophyta, Magnoliopsida, Rosales, Rosaceae.